This is a long non-coding RNA of Mesocricetus auratus (golden hamster), 851 nucleotides long. RefSeq lists it as uncharacterized. NCBI's taxonomy places the organism in Eukaryota, Metazoa, Chordata, Mammalia, Rodentia, Cricetidae. The record is from RefSeq and is a predicted model, not a curated record. The transcript is spliced from 2 exons.
ACACCUUCUGCCAGGAGCAUGUUGUCCAGACGCAUGAGCUGCGGGUCCACCGGCUCCUCCUCUUGGGAGCUCCGGAUGCUGAGGCCUAGCGGAUGGGCAAGCGGGGCGUGAGGCCCCCGGGUGCCCCUCUCCCAGUGUUCCAGCCUUCCUGAAGGAAGGCCCAGGCCUCCAGGCUUUGCUUCCUUCCCCCACUCCCUUCCGAGCAGCCUCCCUGGGUCUCUCCCUUUCCUCAUGGCUUCAAACUCUGAAGGCCCGGAGCAGGCGGAGUCCAGUUCCCAGAGAAACUUCCCUAGAGAAGACCUGUCCGUUUUACUUGCACAUUUACUCCUGCUUCCUGUCGGGGACCCCAGUGUGUGCUGACCUGGCAGACUUCCCGAGCAUCGGCAGCCACUGCAGUGUGAAGUGCGGUGCGCCCUGCCUGGUCAGGCUGGUUGGGGUUGGCUCCAGCCUCAAGGAGGCGGCGGGCUGCAGUUGGCCGAGAGAAUCGGGCAGCCAGGUGCAGGGGUGUCUCUCCAGUGCCCACGGUGUGAGCCUGGGGGCGGGCCCCUCCAUCCAGCAGUGGUUCACAGGGCUCAGGAUUUCCCAGCCACGGUCCCUGGACAAUGGUGGACUCCACUCGCUCACAGAGGACUGCGGACAUCAGGGGUGUCACCCCAUCUGUGGGUGAGGAUGAGUACAAGGCCAAUCAGAAAGAACACAAGAAUAACGACCUCGGGGAGAGUUACAGCCAGAAGAAGACAAGCUCUGCCUCUUUGGGGGGCAGAGGGUGGUGGUGGGGGCCGGUGUUGAGACAGGGUCUCACUAUGUAGCCCUGGCUGCCCUGGAACUCAAUAAACCAGGCUGAUCUUGAA